AUUGAACGCUGGCGGCAUGCCUUACACAUGCAAGUCGAACGGCAACAGGUCUACGGCUGCUUACGAGUGGUGGCCGGGUGCGUACUACAUCGGAACGUGCCCGAACGUGGGGGAUCACGAAGCGAAAGCUUUGCUAAUUCCGCCUAAGAUCUCCGGCUGCCUGCGGGGGAAAUUCGGACCUCGCGCGGACGUGCCCGCCGAUGGCAGAUUAGGUAGUUGGAGGGAUAAAGGCUUACCAAGCCGACGAUCUGUAGCUGGUCUGAGAGGAUGAUCAGCCACACUGGGACUGAGACACGGCCCAGACUCCUACGGGAGGCAGCAGUGGGGAAUAUUGGACAAUGGGCGCAAGCCUGAUCCAGCCAUGCCGCGUGCAUGAAGAAGGCCUUCGGGUUGUAAACUGCUUUUGUACGGAACGAAAAGGAGCCGGCUAAUAAAGCGCGGUCAUGACGGUACCGAAAGAAUAAGCACCGGCUAACUACGUG
This 482-nucleotide ribosomal RNA is filed under the name uncultured bacterium. RNAcentral describes it as "partial 16S ribosomal RNA". It matches the Rfam family "Bacterial small subunit ribosomal RNA", at positions 30 to 507 of the family's 1533-position model. The record is from RNAcentral.